GCACUGCAUCUUUCCUGUUCCUUGCUGUGCAGUGUGGGUCUGGGGAUAGCUAGUGCCACAGCUCAGCAGUGGAAAUCCAGAUGGGUUGCUUUCCACUGGUUUGGAACUCAUUUCUACACCUCUGCAACAUUU
RNAcentral lists this small nucleolar RNA (132 nucleotides) under Chlamydotis macqueenii (Macqueen's bustard). RNAcentral describes it as "Chlamydotis undulata macqueenii Small nucleolar RNA SNORA55". It matches the Rfam family "Small nucleolar RNA SNORA55". Rfam says of the family: ACA55 is a member of the H/ACA class of snoRNA that guide the sites of modification of uridines to pseudouridines. Lineage: Eukaryota; Metazoa; Chordata; Aves; Otidiformes; Otididae. The record is from Rfam by way of RNAcentral.